UACGGAGGGAGCUAGCGUUGUUCGGAAAUACUGGGCGUAAAGCGCACGUAGGCGGCGUCGUAAGUCAGGGGUGAAAUCCCGGGGCUCAACCCCGGAACUGCCUUUGAAACUGCAAUGCUAGAAUACUGGAGAGGCAAGUGGAAUUCCGAGUGUAGAGGUGAAAUUCGUAGAUAUUCGGAAGAACACCAGUGGCGAAGGCGACUUGCUGGACAGUUAUUGACGCUGAGGUGCGAAAGCGUGGGGAGCAAACAGG
Molecule: ribosomal RNA, 253 nt
Filed under: uncultured bacterium
Lineage: Bacteria
Description: partial 16S ribosomal RNA
Rfam family: Bacterial small subunit ribosomal RNA
Source: RNAcentral